AGUGAACGCUGGCGGUAGGCCUAACACAUGCAAGUCGAACGGCAGCACAGUAAGAGCUUGCUCUUACGGGUGGCGAGUGGCGGACGGGUGAGGAAUACAUCGGAAUCUACUUUUUCGUGGGGGAUAACGUAGGGAAACUUACGCUAAUACCGCAUACGACCUACGGGUGAAAGCAGGGGAUCUUCGGACCUUGCGCGAUUGAAUGAGCCGAUGUCGGAUUAGCUAGUUGGCGGGGUAAAGGCCCACCAAGGCGACGAUCCGUAGCUGGUCUGAGAGGAUGAUGAGGGCCAAUGGAACAGAGACACGGGCCCGAGUCCCCCGGGGGGGCGGAGGGGGGAAUAUUGGGCAAUGGGGGGAAGGCUGGUCCAGCCAUACCGCGUGGGUGAAGAAGGCCUUCGGGUUGUAAAGCCCUUUUGUUGGGAAAGAAAAGCAGCAGGUUAAUACCCCGCUGUUCUGACGGUACCCAAAGAAUAAGCACCGGCUAACUUCGUG
Molecule: ribosomal RNA, 492 nt
Filed under: uncultured bacterium
Lineage: Bacteria
Description: partial 16S ribosomal RNA
Rfam family: Bacterial small subunit ribosomal RNA
Source: RNAcentral